UUGAAAAUAAUCCAAUUUAUUUUUGCUUUUUUUUUACUUUUUCAGUAAUUUCAGUUGUAAAAUUUUCUGGCUAUUAUUGCUACUAUAGAAAUAAUAAAAAAUUGAAUCAAUAAGAAUUAAAAAAGGUAAAAACCCAAAAGCAGAAUAUAAUAUGUUAAUAUCGGAUUAUUGUUUUCAUUAACGGCUUGUUUAUUAAAUGAUUAAAUUUAUAGAUUGUCGAUCUACACAUAGCCUGCAGUGCCUAUACAUUUGAAAUCUCUUGUAUGAAGUAUGCACCAAUUAAUACAGUGGAUGUAGGAAGGUUCGUUUCUAUGCUAAACGUUAAAUACUCUGUCGGACAAGUCAGUUUCACUGCUGCAAAACCAGAGAAAUACACGAAAAAGAAAUUCAUAACUAGGAACGAGAAGUUAAAAGAGGAAAAACUAGUCUUGUUAACCAAGAGCCAUCUUCGAUACCUUAACAUGUGAAAUGAAGC
Molecule: long non-coding RNA, 475 nt
Organism: Aphis gossypii (cotton aphid)
Lineage: Eukaryota; Metazoa; Arthropoda; Insecta; Hemiptera; Aphididae
Exons: 3
Source: RefSeq, a predicted model, not a curated record